UGGAUUGACCUAGAACCUAACAGACCAAGCACCUGGGAGGGCAAAGAGGAGUGAUUACCUGGGAAGAACUACCGCUCAUCUUGAAGGGUGGCCAGCUCCACGUCCAUCCAUCGGCGGCGGCGAGCGGCAGUCAGCACGAGGUCUGGAUGGAGGGCCACGAGCACCAGGAGGCACGUCGAGGGGCACCACGAGGCACCAUGGUCACUGCGGGAACACGCCCAACCUGAAGGCCAUCACCAGCCGCCGUCCACGCUCCGGAGCUUAGGUAAGCAAAUCCAUUCCCCUACCUUUGGGUAGUCAAGGUAAAUCCUUUAUGCUUGAGGGUACCAGAACAGACUAUUGAGUGAAUGAAACUUGUGGUUGGCUGCUAUAUGUGUUGUUUGAUGCUUGGUUCAGUAGAAAAAUUGCAUAAAUUUCAGUUUAAUUUAAUCAUCACUCGGCUUCAGGAUUAUGUAUCUCUGCACUAAGAUUUCCAUGUUUAGAGAAAAACCUGUAUGUUAAAACAAGAUGCCACCGUGAAGUAAUUUACACCGAGAUAGCAUCAUGUUCUCAUCAGAAAAAGGAGUUAAAGUUUCAACCAUGAUAGAGACCUGAUUAAAAAUGGAGUAGUGCUAAAAGGAAAAAUUAAUUGGAUGCACACUGCAUAUUAUUUCUAGGAAGGCAUGUGUGAAACAUUUCCAGGAAGCCACGUGUAAACUUUUUUCAUGAAAACAUUCUAAGAUAGUAACCAAGGUCUGUUUCUUUUAUCACGAAAAUUUUGCAAAUGCGCAACCUUUCAACAGUAUGUAAAGAUUUCCUCACAUAUGCAAGAGUAGCCUCACAAGCCCACCCCUGUAAGGAAUGAUUUACCUAAGAACACCAACUGCUGGCAUAUCUAUAUUUGGGUGAUGACUGGAAAAGCUUGCACUCGCAUCUCUGAAAAUGCAGCAGAGACUUAAUUCCUGGGAACACGCCAAACCCGAAGGCCAUCACCAGCC
This 977-nucleotide long non-coding RNA is filed under the name Triticum aestivum (bread wheat). Its description in RNAcentral is "long non-coding RNA (TAES_LNC023487)". Lineage: Eukaryota; Viridiplantae; Streptophyta; Magnoliopsida; Poales; Poaceae. The record is from RNAcentral.